AUGUCAUAUUUCUCGGUUCGAGAUGCUUCCUCUUUUCUUUCCCGGAGUUCCAAGCUCUCUCAAUUAUAUCAUCACGAAGAUCCAUCUAAAUCAUUACAAGGCUUCACCUUGUGUUUUCAACUUCUCUUUCUUUUUAUCAUCAUUUUAUUACCGGAGUUCUCACGAAGGCUCAACAUGGUGGUUCGUCAAGGAUUUCUUUUCAUUCUUCAAUUUUCCUCAAGAUUCUCGAAGUUAAGAUCCGCCAAGCUAUACUCUCAAAUAAACAUGGUGCUCAACACAUGUUUUGUUUUGAGGAGUUCAAGCAUUCUUCAUCUUGCAUUCUGA
This 324-nucleotide ribosomal RNA is filed under the name Triticum aestivum (bread wheat). RNAcentral describes it as "partial small subunit ribosomal RNA". Lineage: Eukaryota; Viridiplantae; Streptophyta; Magnoliopsida; Poales; Poaceae. The record is from RNAcentral.